Molecule: ribosomal RNA, 274 nt
Filed under: uncultured bacterium
Lineage: Bacteria
Description: partial 16S ribosomal RNA
Rfam family: Bacterial small subunit ribosomal RNA
Source: RNAcentral
AUACGGAGGGUGCGAGCGUUAAUCGGAAUUACUGGGCGUAAAGGGUGCGUAGGCGGCUUGAUAAGUCGGAUGUGAAAGCCCCGGGCUUAACCUGGGAAUUGCAUUCGAUACUGUCAGGCUAGAGUAUGUCAGAGGUUGGCGGAAUUCCUGGUGUAGCGGUGAAAUGCGUAGAUAUCAGGAGGAACACCAGUGGCGAAGGCGGCUAACUGGGACAAUACUGACGCUGUGGCACGAAAGCGUGGGGAGCAAACAGGAUUAGAAACCCUAGUAGUCC